This 450-nucleotide ribosomal RNA is filed under the name uncultured bacterium. RNAcentral describes it as "bacterial SSU rRNA". It matches the Rfam family "Bacterial small subunit ribosomal RNA", at positions 354 to 796 of the family's 1533-position model. The record is from RNAcentral.
GUGGGGAAUAUUGGACAAUGGGCGAAAGCCUGAUCCAGCCAUGCCGCGUGUGUGAAGAAGGUCUUCGGAUUGUAAAGCACUUUAAGUUGGGAGGAAGGGCAGUAAGUUAAUACCUUGCUGUUUUGACGUUACCGACAGAAUAAGCACCGGCUAACUUCGUGCCAGCAGCCGCGGUAAUACGAAGGGUGCAAGCGUUAAUCGGAAUUACUGGGCGUAAAGCGCGCGUAGGUGGUUUUGUAAGUUGGAGGUGAAAUCCACGGGCUCAACCUGGGAACUGGCUCCAAAACUACUGAGCUAGAGUACGGUAGAGGGUAGUGGAAUUUCCUGUGUAGCGGUGAAAUGCGUAGAUAUAGGAAGGAACACCAGUGGCGAAGGCGACUACCUGGACUGAUACUGACACUGAGGUGCGAAAGCGUGGGGAGCAAACAGGAUUAGAUACCCUAGUAGUCC